UUAAAAAAAAAAAAAAAAAGAAUCCCUCGUAUCUCAUGCUGUCAUGCAGUUAAUUGUGCUUUCAAAUUUUCAUGAAACCAUGAAUUUCUUAGCAACCUCAUUUUUUCAGUAUUUAAUAAAAUCAAUCUAGUAACAGAACAACCAAAAAAGGAGUCGUCUAUCCAAAGAAGGCGUACUGGAAAACCAUGGACUUCCCAAAGGAAUGCUGAGAAGCACCAAACUGCAACUAUCGAUUACUUGUUAUUAUACAGAAAGCGCAUUGCUGAUUAUCAAAUUAAGCACAAUUGGUCAUCCCAAUAAAAAGCCCCCAAAUUUGUGUAUUUUACCUUGAAAAAUAAUAUAUCAAUCACCAAAAGCAAAUAUCAAAAACAAAACACCGAAAUUAAACUAAUUAAGCUGAGAGCAAGCGGCCAAAACCAUAUACCGUAUUCGAAUAGCUGGGUUCAG
This 447-nucleotide unclassified non-coding RNA is filed under the name Hevea brasiliensis (rubber tree). Lineage: Eukaryota; Viridiplantae; Streptophyta; Magnoliopsida; Malpighiales; Euphorbiaceae. The record is from RNAcentral.